UCGGAGCGCAAGUGUGUCAAAUAAUUACGUUUAUGUUCCAGACGAAUUUAAUUUCAGCACAACUUUAUAUUUUUCGGCCCAAUUGUUUUAAGGCCCGUUCCAUGUAUUAUUUAAACCGAAAAAAGGCAGCUAGGGUUAUUAUUCACCGUUCACGGAAAUUAGAAAACCCUAGAGCAGCCACCACUUACAUGGAGAACUAAAUCCUUCUUUCAAUUCGUUGGUGCAAGGAACUCGUUUUAGAUUCUUGAGGUCUGUUUUAAUAGCAAAN
This 268-nucleotide long non-coding RNA is filed under the name Trifolium pratense (red clover). Its description in RNAcentral is "long non-coding RNA (TPRA_LNC007917)". Lineage: Eukaryota; Viridiplantae; Streptophyta; Magnoliopsida; Fabales; Fabaceae. The record is from RNAcentral.